RNAcentral lists this ribosomal RNA (523 nucleotides) under soil fungal sp. DM2-156. RNAcentral describes it as "eukaryotic LSU rRNA". It matches the Rfam family "Eukaryotic large subunit ribosomal RNA", at positions 104 to 653 of the family's 3401-position model. The record is from RNAcentral. Lineage: Eukaryota; Fungi.
ACAGCUCAAAUUUGAAAUCUGGCCCUCGGGUCCGAGUUGUAAUUUGUAGAGGAUGUUUUUGGUGCGGUACCUUCCGAGUUCCCUGGAACGGGACGCCAUAGAGGGUGAGAGCCCCGUCUGGUUGGAUGCCAAUCCUCUGUAAAACUCCUUCGACGAGUCGAGUAGUUUGGGAAUGCUGCUCUAAAUGGGAGGUAUAUGUCUUCUAAAGCUAAAUAUUGGCCAGAGACCGAUAGCGCACAAGUAGAGUGAUCGAAAGAUGAAAAGCACUUUGAAAAGAGAGUUAAAAAGCACGUGAAAUUGUUGAAAGGGAAGCGCUUAUGACCAGACUUGGGCUUGGUUGAUCAUCCGGCGUUCUCGCCGGUGCACUCUUCCGGUCCAGGCCAGCAUCAGUUUGCUUCGGGGGAUAAAGGCUUUGGGAAUGUGGCUCCCUCGGGAGUGUUAUAGCCCAUUGUGCAAUACCCUGGAGCGGACUGAGGUACGCGUUCUGCAAGGAUGCUGGCGUAAUGGUCAUCAGUGACCCGUC